The sequence is a transfer RNA, 82 nucleotides long. It matches the Rfam family "tRNA". From Rfam's summary of the family: Transfer RNA (tRNA) molecules are approximately 80 nucleotides in length. Their secondary structure includes four short double-helical elements and three loops (D, anti-codon, and T loops). Further hydrogen bonds mediate the characteristic L-shaped molecular structure. tRNAs have two regions of fundamental functional importance: the anti-codon, which is responsible for specific mRNA codon recognition, and the 3' end, to which the tRNAs corresponding amino acid is attached (by aminoacyl-tRNA synthetases). tRNAs cope with the degeneracy of the genetic code in two manners: having more than one tRNA (with a specific anti-codon) for a particular amino acid; and 'wobble' base-pairing, i.e. permitting non-standard base-pairing at the 3rd anti-codon position. The record is from Rfam.
GGACUCGUAGCGCAAUGGUAGCGCGUCAGUUUUCGGUUCACAGGUUCACUGAAGGUUGCAGGUUCGAGCCCUGCCGAGUUCG